UGGGGAAUAUUGCACAAUGGGCGGAAGCCUGAUGCAGCAACGCCGCGUGCGGGAUGACGGCCUUCGGGUUGUAAACCGCUUUCAGCAGGGGCGAAGCUUGUGGUGACGGUACCUGCAGAAGAAGCACCGGCUAACUACGUGCCAGCAGCCGCGGUGAUACGUAGGGUGCGAGCGUUGUCCGGAUUUAUUGGGCGUAAAGAGCUCGUAGGUGGUUGAUUGCGUCGGAAGUGAAAACUUGGGGCUUAACCCUGAGCGUGCUUUCGAUACGGGUUGACUUGAGGAAGGUAGGGGAGAAUGGAAUUCCUGGUGGAGCGGUGGAAUGCGCAGAUAUCAGGAGGAACACCAGUGGCGAAGGCGGUUCUCUGGACCUUUCCUGACGCUGAGGAGCGAAAGCGUGGGGAGCGAACAGG
RNAcentral lists this ribosomal RNA (410 nucleotides) under uncultured Propionibacterium sp. RNAcentral describes it as "bacterial SSU rRNA". It matches the Rfam family "Bacterial small subunit ribosomal RNA", at positions 355 to 776 of the family's 1533-position model. The record is from RNAcentral. Lineage: Bacteria; Bacillati; Actinomycetota; Actinomycetes; Propionibacteriales; Propionibacteriaceae.